GGCUCAAAUUAGUCGAACUGCAAAUUGGAUUUUGGGGUUUCCCCCUGGGCUU
RNAcentral lists this transfer RNA (52 nucleotides) under Varanus storri. RNAcentral's name for it is "tRNA-Cys". The record is from RNAcentral. Lineage: Eukaryota; Metazoa; Chordata; Lepidosauria; Squamata; Varanidae.